AGAGAGGUGUCCGAGUGGUUGAAGGAGCACGCCUGGAAAGUGUGUAUACCCGUGAGGGUAUCGAGGGUUCGAAUCCCUUCCUCUCUG
Molecule: transfer RNA, 87 nt
Filed under: Aquiflexum balticum DSM 16537
Lineage: Bacteria; Pseudomonadati; Bacteroidota; Cytophagia; Cytophagales; Cyclobacteriaceae
Also listed under: 1 other name
Rfam family: tRNA
About the family: Transfer RNA (tRNA) molecules are approximately 80 nucleotides in length. Their secondary structure includes four short double-helical elements and three loops (D, anti-codon, and T loops).
Source: Rfam by way of RNAcentral